RNAcentral lists this long non-coding RNA (1418 nucleotides) under Nicotiana tabacum (common tobacco). Its description in RNAcentral is "long non-coding RNA (NTAB_LNC018939)". The record is from RNAcentral. Lineage: Eukaryota; Viridiplantae; Streptophyta; Magnoliopsida; Solanales; Solanaceae.
UGAAAGCAAGGGAAAUAGUAUGAAGUCCCAAAUAAAGGCCAGAAAUGAGUCGGGAAUGGAGCGUCAACAGAAAAGAGCAAGAGCAGAGGUCGCCGAAAAAUCAGAUUUCCGGCCAAAAAUUCUCAGUAUCGAUUUGCCUCAUGAAAAGGUCGCCAGAAAAUUAUAAGGUCAACGGAGAGAACAAAAUCCGGCCAAAAAUCCGGAUCUGUACUUCAUAUAGCAACAGAAAAUAUAACAAGAAAUAGAGACCAGACAAAAAGGGAACGAGAAUAAAGGGGGUGGCUGCCUUUUCUUGAGAGAAUGAGAGAGAUGAGAGCUCUCUUUUGGACUGAGUUUUGCUGGCCUUUGGUUCUGGUUUUGGUGUCUGUUAUAGGUGGCUUAAAGGAGGAGUUACAGUGGAGUUAUUUGGUGAAAACUCUAUUUUAGGAAGAGAUCAGGGCUCCUCGUGCUCUCUCUACCAUUUUUUUUUAAUCUUUUUCCCCGGUUCUAUCUGUUUUCUCUCCCCUUUUUUGACUUUCCUCUUCCCCUUUUUAAUUUUCCUCCUCCCUCUUUUGACUUUUUAUUGUAUGUAUUUGGGGUAAAGAUAAAUUUACUUUUUUUUUGUGAGUGUCAGUGUGUGUUGGUGGAGGGAUUAUGUGAGGGAAGUGCACGGGGAAAGUGAGGGUGUGAGUGGAAAAAUAUUCACGCAUAGUCAAAAAUUAGGUGCCCACAGCAUGCCCCUCUUUUCUUGGAAACAUGAAGAGUUUUCAAGCAAAGACAAGGUGAGCGAUACGACUAAUUUUUGGCCAUACCAUUAUUCAAAAGGAAAGAGAGAAAAAAGUGCAACCGAGUCCUGAUUUUGGACGGCCUACAUAUCCUGGUUUAUAAGGGAAUCAGGUCGCGUGUAAUUCAAGAAAAAGGAUGGAAUGCUGAGUUGGAGAGUCGAGUGAGGUUCCGUCGAGGCUCCGGUCUAUAGUCGUGUUAUUACAUCAAAAUCAAAAGAGACUAAAUAAUCCUAUCAGCUAUGAGUUACAAGAUUCAUAUAUAUAAGUCUUCUAAAACGUGAUCUUGAGUUUUGACUGGUUCUUUACGCAUACUCUAAUGUGAACCUUGAUGCUUGCUCGUUGCAGGUGCCAGUUCAUUCUUCUACGGCCUCUUCUGAUGAAGGCGGGAAAUGCAAUGCUCGUGACUUCAGUCAUGUCUUGAACAGUUCACAUCUUUUCAUCCGCUUCUGCAAUCUGGAUUCACUUUUUUUUUAUUUUCUUUUCUUUAUUUUGGAUUGAGACUUCUUCUUCGCCUCAAGGUAAAACCUGCUCAGACACCAAAACAAACAAACAAAUAAAAUUUUUCUGCCCCUGUUUUCACUAGAAAAAUUUCGUGCGUUAUUUGUAACAAAAAUCUAUACUACUUCAUUAUUGAAAGCAAUAAAAGGUCAGGAU